AUACGUAGGGGGCGAGCGUUGUCCGGAAUGAUUGGGCGUAAAGGGCGCGUAGGCGGCCCGGUAAGUCUGGAGUGAAAGUCCUGUUUUUAAGAUGGGAAUUGCUUUGGAUACUGUCGGGCUUGAGUGCAGGAGAGGUAAGUGGAAUUCCCAGUGUAGCGGUGAAAUGCGUAGAGAUUGGGAGGAACACCAGUGGCGAAGGCGACUUACUGGACUGGAACUGACGCUGAGGCGCGAAAGUGUGGGGAGCAAACAGGAUUAGAUACCCUGGUAGUCCACACUGUAAACGAUGAAUGCUAGGUGUAGGGGGUAUCGACCCCUUCUGUGCCGCAGUCAACACAAUAAGCAUUCCGCCUGGGGAGUACGGCCGCAAGGUUGAAACUCAAAUGAAUUGGCGGGG
RNAcentral lists this ribosomal RNA (397 nucleotides) under uncultured bacterium. RNAcentral's name for it is "partial 16S ribosomal RNA". It matches the Rfam family "Bacterial small subunit ribosomal RNA", at positions 523 to 918 of the family's 1533-position model. The record is from RNAcentral.